UCACAUACCUGGCAGAGGGAUACCAUGGCCAUGAAGGUGGUUUUCCAAGGAUAAGUUUCUUCCAUGGCGCUAGAGAUGCAUUGACGAUCCUUAUGAUUUUUCACAAAUAGAGGAAACUUGACAAAAUAAUUUGUAGUAAUGGAGGACUGUAUUUGCCUUUUCCCCUA
RNAcentral lists this small nuclear RNA (167 nucleotides) under Peromyscus maniculatus bairdii (prairie deer mouse). RNAcentral describes it as "U1 spliceosomal RNA (ENSPEMG00000002838.2)". It matches the Rfam family "U1 spliceosomal RNA". From Rfam's summary of the family: U1 is a small nuclear RNA (snRNA) component of the spliceosome (involved in pre-mRNA splicing). Its 5' end forms complementary base pairs with the 5' splice junction, thus defining the 5' donor site of an intron. There are significant differences in sequence and secondary structure between metazoan and yeast U1 snRNAs, the latter being much longer (568 nucleotides as compared to 164 nucleotides in human). The record is from RNAcentral. Lineage: Eukaryota; Metazoa; Chordata; Mammalia; Rodentia; Cricetidae.